UACCUUUCUGGGGUAUUUGUAAGGCGCUG
This 29-nucleotide non-coding RNA is filed under the name Mus musculus (house mouse). The record is from RNAcentral. Lineage: Eukaryota; Metazoa; Chordata; Mammalia; Rodentia; Muridae.